This 9001-nucleotide long non-coding RNA is filed under the name Olea europaea (common olive). RNAcentral's name for it is "long non-coding RNA (OEUR_LNC002383)". Lineage: Eukaryota; Viridiplantae; Streptophyta; Magnoliopsida; Lamiales; Oleaceae. The record is from RNAcentral.
UAGGCAAUAAAUAUUUUAAUAUUUUGUUGCAAAAUUUCUUCUUCCAAGAGCCAGAAAAGGACAAGUAUGGCAAUAUCAAAAGCUGCAAGAUGCACGAUCUUGUCCAUGAUCUUGCAUGUUUAGUUUCAAAAUCAGAAAGUUUCAUGAACAUGGAGGGUCGCACUGUCGAUGACAUUCUUCAAGUUAGACACCUUGCAAUGGAAUCAAUUGGAGAGGAAAUAGUCAAGGACAUAAAAGAGAGAGCAAGUUAUUUCCGCACCUUGUUCUUAAGAGGCAGCGUACCAGAUGGAAUUUUGCCAGACUUCAAGCAUUUGCAUUCUCUAAAGCUAUGUGAUGCAAAUAUUAAAGAAUUGCCAACAUCAAUUGGCACGUUGAAACAUUUGAGAUAUCUUUAUGUGUCCGAAAAUCAUCUUCUCACUACUCUGCCAGAAUCUAUCUGCAAGCUCUACAAUUUGCAAACUUUGAGGAUUCUACGUUGCUUAAGUUUUCUCAAUCUUCCUAGAGAUAUGCGCUUCUUGAUUCGUCUAAGGCAUCUCUGUUUUGAUAAGGUUUGCCGUGUUUUCAAGAUGCCUCCUAAAGUCGGAAGUUUAUCUUGCCUUCAAACGUUACCAUUAUUUUGUGCGAGUGACAAGGAAGGUUGUCGAAUCGAUGAGCUGGGAAAGCUGAAGAAAUUAAAGGGCAAACUACAAAUACAGAAUCUGGAAUUGGUGAGUUGCAAAACAGAAGCGGAGCAUGCAGAUAUGGCUGGAAAGCUAAACAUUUAUAAUUUUAGCUUUUAUUGGAAUUGUUCAACGGAUUCCAAUGAUGAGAGUCAGUCUACGAAUUCCAUAGAAAGUAACGUCAAUGAUGAGAGUGUACUUGAAGGGCUGCAACCUCAUGAAAAGCUAAAAUGCUUAACAAUUGAUGGAUUCCGAGGUAAAAAAUUUCCAUUAUGGACUAGAAAUAUGAGAAUAUAUAAAGGCAAUUCUGGCCUUCCGGUGAUAUUUGAUAAAUUGAUCAAGAUCGAAAUUAUAAGUUGUGGCAAUUGCGAAGAAAUCCCAGUGCUCGGCCACCUACCACUCCUCAAGUAUCUACUUAUCCAGGAUCUGGGUAACGUAACAUUGAUAAGUUCAUCAUUCUAUGGAGAGAGUGAUUGUACCACAAAUAGCAGCAACGAUGGCCAAGAGACAAGAGAAUCAUUCCCGUCACUCAAAAGUCUCGUAAUAAUGGAAUUGCCGAACCUAAUAAAUUGGGAAGAAGCACAAAUGAGCGGAACACAGGUAUUUCCUUGCCUUGAAUAUUUGGAUAUACUUUUUUGUGACAAGUUAGCUCAUGUUCCCCAUUUACGGGGCAGCGGAGCUUCUCUUAAAAAGAUGAAAAUUGAGAAUUGUCUUAAAUUGAGGAAAUUACCCUAUGACCUUGGUAGCCUCCAGUCUCUUGAGACAUUGGAAAUAGAAUCAUGUGGAAAUCUGAAAUCAAUUUCAUAUCAAAGUGGACAAAAAGGCCUCCUUUCCCUUCAGAAGUUGGAAAUUCGUAAUUGCCUCUUUUAAUUUUUAUAGAUAUGUCACAACUUUUCCCAAUUUAUUUCGGUAUAAUGGUGUAAGAUCACCGCUUGCAAUGUCAUCAAAUUAGUUUGUUGAUACAAAUGGGAUGAGAUGUAGUGAUUAAUGAUGUGUAAAUAUCAAUAUCAAUAAUUUAAAAUCAUACUGUGUGAGUGUAAUUUAUUAGGUAGAUAGAAAUACAAAUUAAAUAAUUGAGUUGGAAAUCAAAUGGUCUUUAGUGAGACAUUGGGACCCUUUCUACUUGGAAGUUAGUGCACGAGUAAAUUCGAAAACAAAAAUGAGCAAAAUUGAAAACUUUCAUUACAAUAAAAAUAUAAUGCAAUUAACUAUAAAUGUGGUGUAUAUAUAAUCAUCCAUUAAAAAAUUUAGAAGUAUUGUACAAUUAUUUAAAUAACUCUUUAACUGUACUUUUAUAUUAUCAUCCAUUAAGAAAUCCAAAAGCAGUGGACACAAUUAUUUUCAUGUACGUCUCUACGGACUUUAUGUGUGGAACACUGCCAUAAUCUCACUUCACUUCCUGAAAUGAGUGGGAUGGGUUCUCUACAGUCUCUAGUUGUGGGUGGAUGUAAAAAUAUCACUUCAUUUCCUGAAAUGAGUGGGAUGAAAUCUCUACAGGAACUAUGUUUAAAGUCAUGCACUUCCUUUCCAGAAUUGAGUAGGAUGGGAUGCCUUAACAGCUUAAUUGAAUUGUCCAUUGGGUUCUUCCCAAAUUCAAUGGAAUUACAUUCAUUUCAAUCUUUUAUCAACGGCAUCAAACGCAUGAAAUCCCUUGAAAGAGUAGUCUUAUAUGGUUCGGGAGAUUGGGUCUCUCAACUAGAUCAGCUUCAACAUCUCAGUUCCCUAAAAGAAUUGUUAAUAUAUGAAUUUGAAAUGGAAGCCUUGCCUGAUUGGAUUGGAAAUUUGUCAUCUCUUGAAAGUCUAGGAGUACGGUACUGUGGAGAGCUUAAGUACCUGCCCUCUAAAGAAGUUAUGCAACGGCUCACCAAAUUAGAACUAUUAAAUAUUUGGUUUUGUCCGAUAUUGGAGGAGAGAUGCAGGGUAAAAAGCGGUCCUGAUUCUGAGUGGCCAAAAAUUUCUCAUAUUCCCCAUCUGAUAAUAAAAGAUCUGUGAAGUUUGGUGUUCCUGUAAGUAUAUUUAAAGUUUGAAUAUUGACUUUAUUGUUUAUUAAUUUUGGUUAGUGUAUGUUCUAAAUAUUGCUACAGGGUGGUUUUAAUUGAUUUCUGUUACUAAUAGAUAAAAAGAGUUUGCAUGAGGUUGUCCUUUAAUUUUGUCAAAUAACAAAGAUUUCUCGAUUAAAUGUUUACCAAAGUAUUCAGUUAAAUGACUUUAUUUUUCAAUUAAUUAUAUUAUCCUUUCUUAAGUUAGCUAGUGUGCUAAAAUAGUUAUAGUUAUGAAUUGCUUCGAGUGCCUUAUGGAAUUUGUAUAAAUUUUAUUAGGUUGUGAUGAAGAAGAGCAUCCACCCUCAACAACUUGAUACUCAUUUAUUGUCCUAUCAAUUCCUAAUUCUAUUUGGAUCUUCGUCAACUUUACUAUUGUAAGUUUUCUUAUCAUUACAUAAAUAUUAGAACGAUUUGAACUAUCUUCACAUGAUUUCAUAUUAACUUCUCCACAGACAUGGGCAUUUCAUAGACAUUUUUCUUGUUUUGGAAUUGGAAUUGGAAUUGGAAUUUGAAUUAUGAGGCAUAUGAUUUAGUCGGUAGAAAGAGAAAUGUAGAAUUCAAUUAUCAAUAAAUAAGUAGGUAUGAAUUGUCCUUAGUUAGAAAUUAAGUUGACAUCUUCGAUUGCUCAAUACAAUUUAAAUAUUGGGUUUUGACUACUAAACUUUUCAAAAUGUUGGAGUUACUCACUGAAAUCUUUGCAGCAUUUUGGCACCGACAAUCUGAAAAUAUGUUAUCUUUUAAGUAUUCUGUGAAACUCAAAACAUAAACUAGUACGAAAAAGCAAGAAAAUUUUAAAAUCUUCUUUGCAAUUAAAAUACGGUGCAAUUAAUGAUAAAUGUGGGCAAGUUUAUGUUUGGUGGGAUUAAAAUUUGAUUUUGAGAAGAAUUUGAUAAAAAUUGAAGAAAUGUGUGAUAGAAAAGUUAUAUAACCCAUGAAAUAUGUAUUUAAUAUUGAAUGUGAACUUUAAUUAGUUUAAAAUUUAAAUUUUAAGCAAGUAGGUUGUAAAAAGACUUUGACUAAAGGAUUGAUCAAUAAUUAAGUGUACCUUUCUUAAGCAGAGGAAAACAAUCAUUUACACCACAAACUCCUCGAAUUUGCAAGCUCUUGUUCCCUGACCUGUUGGAGCACAUCCCGCGAUUUACCUCCCUCACGAUGCUCUAGGAGCGGGGCAGUGGGGACCCUCAAGGUUGGGGUUCAACCUUUAAUCAAUCACACAUACUAAAUUUCCAAAGUGAGAAAAAAUGAAAGCUGUGGCUAUUGACGGUGUAAAAACCAUACUUCAGAAUUUGUUUCCGGUAGCUGUUGAAGAAUUCAAACUCUUGCGGGGCUUUGAGAAAGAAUUUGAAAAUUUGAAAAACUAUUUCGAAAAGAUCUGCGAAGUUUUGGACGAUGCUAAGAAGCGCGAAAUCACUGAGAAGGCUAUUGAAAGCUGGCUUAAAGGCCUCAAAGAUGCUGCCUAUGAUGCCGACAACGUUUUGGACGAGAUCAAAUAUAAAGAUUUACGUCGUACAAUAGAGACAGAGGACAAAAUUGGGUGCUUAAACUUUCCUUUCAUUAUGACAUUUCUGCAAAAGAUGGCGCACAAAAUCACUUUUCAUUGGAAGAUGUCACACAAGAUCAAGAGCAUAAAUGAAAAUUUCAAGAGGAUAAACAACGAAGCUGAUAGCCUUGGUCUCAACAGAGUUAUGGAUCAUCCUUGUUCAAAGCCUCUGGUCAUGGAAACUAACAGCUUCACAGUUGAUCCAAUUGUCAUUGGAAGACAAAGUGAUGAAUCAAAAAUUCUGGAAAUGAUAACCAGCUCGAUCAAUAAUGUCCUUUCAGUCCUUUCCAUAGUCGGAAUGGGAGGGCUUGGUAAGACGACUUUGGCAUGCAAGAUCUUCGAAAACCAUCGUACAGGAAACCAUUUCGACAAAACGAUUUGGGUUUGUGUAUUAGAAAAUUUUGAUCAGCUGACGCUUUGCAAAAGGAUCCUGGAAUUAUUAUUGAUCGAAAAAUUUGAUGGGGGUUAGCAAGGAAGCUGUUGUUCAAAAGUGUAGCGGAAAUCCCUCUAUAAAUCUUGAUUCCGGGCUCAGAAAACAAUGAAACGAACACCGAUUUACCUCGACUUAACCCGAGACUUUCGCCUUCACUUUGGACUGCUCUCUUUCUCUCUAACCCCACAAAGGAGAAUGGUGGUGGAAUUAGCAAUCCACAAAAGUAUGAAGAGGAAGAAGAAAAUAUCACAAUGGUUGAAUCUCACUCACAACCUCACAUGGCUCCCUCUCUCUCGGUUGCCUCUCUUCUCUCAACUCUCCUCUCCAUUGCUACAACACACACACACCCCAAAAAUGGCUGGGAGAUAAAUAAAUAUUUUUAGGUUAGUUUAGGUCACUCUAAUUGGGCCUAGGGUUUACUAAGUGGGCUACUAAUUAACCUAAACUAAUGAGCCAAUAUUCAACUCCAUAUUAGUCACUAAAUGGUCCAACUAACCAAAUAAUCAUCCAUCCCAAACCCGAACCAUCCAAAAGUGUAGUUCAUCUCCGAGCCGAGCCAAGUCCAUGGUGUCGAUAAAUAAUCCGACAACUGUUUUAAAUCAUCGUCCGGAUUUUUGGGUAUAAAAAAACCCAACAAUCUCCACCUUAAUGCCCAAUAAUCUGCAAGCAACCAAAACACACAGUUUAUACUUGCACAAUCAAGGUAAUCCAAUAAAAUUGGAGUCACAUACCUUACCUCGUGUUUCGAACCGAAACACAUAUCAUACUUACUCCAUGUACUCACCAGGGCUAAGGUCAAGAACACCCAAAUAGAAACAAGUAUUCACAUUGAACAAACAAUCAUGCGAUGAAGAUAUAUAGGAUAACACACACAGAUCUUUUCAAAACCACAUUCACACAGAACCACAGAUUAACACCUAGUUAAUCAACACAUGGUCAUGCACAUAUGCAACAAAUGUAUAAAUGACCCUAAGAAAAGAUCUUACCACACUUAUCCUAUCCCAUUCCGUGUUGCUUACACCUCGAGAACACAUAUCUCCUCUCAUCGCCCACAAUGCUCACUAAACCAAUUACUUAACUCAUAUCUAACUGGAAAGUUACAAUAGAUCCCAAGCUCUCGGGAUAAUCCUCUAUCACCGCAUCACUUCUCCCAACCUACGUGGAUAAUGGGACUCCACCUUACAGAAGUGAUAGAAGUGCCUCUCUCGCACUCCACCUGUACAGGGUCUCUUUCACAGAUAAAGGAUUCUACACACAUCUCCACUCGUGAUCCAAAUGUCACACUCCACAUUCCCAGGUACAAAUCACCAUGUAUCCCUAGAUAUCUAUACUCCACCUUACCAAAAGACAUCCAACUCACUGCUAAUGCAUCACAAACUCAUUGCGGCAAAACAACACCUUUCGGUGACCACAAAUGUUACUCCAAUUACCAAAGCUCCAAAAAAUCCACAAAGAAAAUGGCGAAGGUGGCACUCACAAAGAAAAAUCGAAGAAAGAGUCGGUUACUUCACAACACUCACAAAGAAGGCUCACAAAGAGGAAGAAUAUAACCCUAACAUGGCUGCCUUACAUAAUCUCACAAACCACAUAGGCUCACAAAGAUAAAGGAGAGAAAUGGCUGCCCAACUUUCUUCUCACUACCACACUCUCUCACCACUCAUAGAGCAAAUAGAGUACGCCACAAAACUUAACCCACUAUUCAUGUAAACAUAUUACACAAAGUAAUAUGUCACUCUUAUUCAUGCAAUUACACACAUCAAACAUAUUGAAAGUAUAACAUCAACAUUUCAACAGAAUCAAAUGAUCACAUACAUGCAGAAAGGAUUAUACACAGAUGCACAUGCAGUAACUAGGUUUAUUCUCAAUAAAUCUCACUAGGAUCACUACUCGAUCCUAAAGUCAUAUUCACCUCGUCUCUAUCCUCAUCUUUCCUUUUAUUAUCAUCUUAGGACAAUCUCUUUCAACUAUGCCCAAAUUUUAUCACAGUUAAAACAUAUUUUAUUUUUCGCACUUGUCUUAGACCUAUACAUGUCAAUAAUACCAAAUAAUGACCACAAGUAAAGUACUGACACAUAAUUCACACAAAAUAGUUAAGUAAUUUUUCCUAAGGUCACAUGCAAUUCUAUCGGUAUAGAAAAAUUGGUGACAAAUUCACAUGGAAUUUAAGGCAAUUAAUUAACAUGUAAUUCCUAGGUCUAGCAACAAGCAAUGGUUACCCCAAACCUAACGUUACCCCACACGAUGACUUUCAAUGCGAAAAAAUAAAUAAUUAACCUAAACCCCAAACCUAACGUCACCCCAUACGAUGACUUCCAAUGCCAAAAAAUAAAUAAUUAACCUACACAUUUAUUUUAACUACAAUAAUAAAAAGCAAAGAGAUACCGAGCGGACCACGUCUGAAGGUCCGUAAAUAUCGAGAGACGUGAAUUGACCACUUUAGAAUCAUCACUGUUUGUCCUAAAGUCACCAAUAAUUACAGCAACACAAAAACAGCACCCGGCACCUGAAUGUCCAAGGGCAAAAUCGUUCACCUUUCACUGCAUUGCUCAAAACUGAAAUUCGACAACACCGUAGAGUCCGUAUCGUCACUAGCAGCAUUCUGUCUGAAGACAGCAUCCCCAGAUUCCUACUCACGCCUCGCUGGAGUUCCCACGCGCCGGAGCCAGUCGGCGACGCGCUGGUGACGCCCCGACCUUUCUGAACCGUCUCCAGCUGUAAAGUCCAAUGGUGGUGUCCGUUUUGCCAAACUCCUUUUGGUUUCACCAAAAAACGCCAAAACAGAUUCGGCAGAAAUUUGAAAAAAUCCCAGAAAACUGUCUAGUUUUUCUGCCUGUUUUUCUGUCCGAUUUCUAGUCAAUUCCAACCCAUUUUUCAGCUCCAAAAAUCACAGAUUUAUCAAUAACACAAGCUCUAAUACCGUUUGUAGCGGAAAUCCCUCUAUAAAUCUUGAUCCCGGGCUCAUAAAACAAUCAAACGAACACCGAUUUACCUUGGCUCGACCCGAGACUUUCGCCUUCACUUUGGACUACUCUCUCUCUCUCUAACCCCACAAAGGAGAAGGGUGGUGGUGUUAGAAAUCCACAAAGAUAUGAAGAGGAAGAAGAAUAUAUCACACUGGUUGAAUCUCACUCACAACCUCACAUGGCUUCCCUUUCUCUUGAUUGCCUCUCUUCUCUCAACUCUCCUCUCCAUUGCUACAACACACACACACACACACCAAAAACGGCUGGGAGAUAAGUACAUAUAUAUAGGUUAGUUUAGAUCACUCUAAUUGGGUAUAGGGUUCUCCAAGUGGGCUACCAAUUAACCUAAACUAAUGAGCCAAUAUUCAACUCUAUAUUAAUCACUAAAUGGUCCAACUAACCAAAUAAUCAUCCAGCCCAAACCCGAACCAUCCAAAAGUAUAGUUCAUCUUUGAGCCGAGCUAAGUCCAUGGUGUCGAUAAAUAAUCCGACAACUGCUUUAAAUCAUCGCCCGGAUUAUUGGGAAUCAAAAAAUCCAACAAAAAGAUUGCAGAAAAAUUAAAAGACAAAAGAUACUUGCUUGUUCUCGAUGAUUUAUGGAAUGAAGAAACAAAAGAUUGGGAUGAAUUCAAAAAAAACACUAGUGGGAGCUAGCUUCAGAAAUGGAAAUUUCAUUAUCGUCACCACACGUAAGGAAAAGGUGGCAUCUAUUGUGAACACUUGCGAUCAUCCAUGUUGCUUGAGGUCAUUGACAGAAGGCGAUUGCUGGUCGAUAACCAGAACAAUGGCAUUUCAAGAUAAAGAAGUACCAGAACAAUUUGCGAUCACUGGAUUGGAGAUUGCCCGCAAAUGUAGAGGUUUACCUCUAUCAGCAAAUGUGAUUGGAAGAGUUUUGCAAGGAAAGGAAAUAGAAGAGUGGGAUUCAGUUCUACAAUAUGAGCUUUCAAAUCUUGAAGAGGGUGAGAAGGGUGUGUUGCAAGUCUUAAAGGUAAGUUACGAUCGCUUACCUUCUUCAUCACGGAAAAAAUGUUUUGCCUAUUGUUCAAUAUUUAUCAAGGAUUCGGUCAUGGAUAGAGAACGCUUAAUCCAGCUCUGGAUGGUAGAAAGAUUUCUUCCGAAAGAUAAAAAAAGUGAGAUGGAGACUACGGGCAAUAAAUUUUUUAAUAUUUUGUUGUAAAACUACUUCUUCCAAGAGCCUAUGAAGGACCAGUAUGGCAAUAUCAUAAGCUACAAGAUGCACGAUCUUGUCUAUGAUCUUGCAUGUUCAGUUUCGAAAUCAGAAAGUUUCAUGAAUAUGGAGGGUCGCACUGCUGAUGACAUUCUUCAAGUUAGACACCUUGCAAUAGAAUCAAUUGAAGAGGAAA